Molecule: transfer RNA, 798 nt
Filed under: uncultured cyanobacterium
Lineage: Bacteria; Bacillati; Cyanobacteriota
Description: partial contains 16S ribosomal RNA, 16S-23S ribosomal RNA intergenic spacer, and 23S ribosomal RNA
Rfam family: tRNA (bases 265-337)
Source: RNAcentral
CAGGGAGACAAAAACUGAUCGUGAUGUCUAAGUGAACUUAUUCUUAGACCAUGAUCCUGUCACCUUAGGUCGAUCGGUACCUCAGAUUGUGCAUAAAUCAAAUGUCAAUUGACAUUUGAUUUUGAAGCAUGAUUUCUGUUCCUAAACUUUGUCUAGGUCACACCCCACAAGGGUUACUCCUGGGCCAUUAGCUCAGGUGGUUAGAGCGCACCCCUGAUAAGGGUGAGGUCCCUGGUUCAAGUCCAGGAUGGCCCAUUCGGUUUUGGGGGUUUAGCUCAGUUGGUAGAGCGCCUGCUUUGCAAGCAGGAUGUCAGCGGUUCGAGUCCGCUAACCUCCACUGGCCGACCUCCUGUGACGGCCAAAUCUCUAGGGAGACUUGUGAGAUGUGACUUUGAUUUUUUUGCUGAUUUGAACCUAGCUUCUUUUCUUUAUAUUUGAUUUCUAUUCAAAAAUUAUUAGAAAGGAUGCUGGGCUCGCUGAAAUUCCUUAUAGGGAUUGCAGAGAACUCAGUAGAACCUUGACAACUGCAUAGGUGAGUCUGGAAAGAAUAAAGCAUCUCAUGGAUGCAUUUUCUUUUUCCAUUUAAGUUAAUUAAAUAGAAAAUUGAAAGUGUUUAAUCCUUGAGCAAGAGCUAAGACUCUAAAACAUAUCUUUUAUCUUUAUUCAAGAUAAAAGUCUGAUUAAAUUAUUCACUGAUUGUUUUAACAAAAGGUUUAUUUACAUAGUCUUUUGAAAACAAUAAACAAUGUUUAAGAAUGCGUUUUCAACAACGUAGAUAUAUGUUUUAGAGAACUAUAU